This 263-nucleotide ribosomal RNA is filed under the name uncultured bacterium. RNAcentral describes it as "partial 16S ribosomal RNA". It matches the Rfam family "Bacterial small subunit ribosomal RNA", at positions 793 to 1055 of the family's 1533-position model. The record is from RNAcentral.
GUCCACGCCCUAAACGAUGAUGACUAGUUGUUGGAGGAGUUAAAUCCUUUAGUAACGCAGCUAACGCGUGAAGUCAUCCGCCUGGGGAGUACGGUCGCAAGAUUAAACUCAAAGGAAUUGACGGGGCCCGCACAAGCGGUGGAUGAUGUGGUUUAAUUCGAUGCAACGCGAAAACCUUACCUACCCUUGACAUGUCAGGAACUCUGCAGAAAUGCAGAGGUGCCCGAAAGGGAACCUGAACACAGGUGCUGCAUGGCUGUCGU